This 522-nucleotide ribosomal RNA is filed under the name uncultured bacterium. Its description in RNAcentral is "bacterial SSU rRNA". It matches the Rfam family "Bacterial small subunit ribosomal RNA", at positions 25 to 518 of the family's 1533-position model. The record is from RNAcentral.
CAGGACGAACGCUGGCGGCCGUGCCUAAUACAUGCAAGUCGAACGGCUUUUCUAUGGAAGCUUGCUUCCACUGAGAAGAUAGUGGCGAACGGGUGAGUAACACGUGGGUAACCUGCCCAUAAGAGGGGGGAUAACAUCCGGAAACGGGUGCUAAUACCGCAUAGUUUUCUUGAUCGCAUGAUUGAGAAAGGAAAGACGGCCUUUGUGCUGUCGCUUAUGGAUGGACCCGCGGCGUAUUAGUUAGUUGGUGAGGUAACGGCUCACCAAGACGAUGAUACGUAGCCGACCUGAGAGGGUGAUCGGCCACAUUGGGACUGAGACACGGCCCAAACUCCUACGGGAGGCAGCAGUAGGGAAUCUUCCGCAAUGGACGAAAGUCUGACGGAGCAACGCCGCGUGAGUGAAAGAAGGUUUUCGGAUCGUAAAACUCUGUUGUCAGAGAAGAACAAGUUGGAGAGUAACUGCUCCAGCCUUGACGGUAUCUGACCAGAAAGCCACGGCUAACUACGUGCCAGCCGCCGC